AGCAGCCGCGGUAAUUCCAGCUCCAAUAGCGUAUAUUAAAGUUGUUGCAGUUAAAAAGCUCGUAGUUGAAUUUCGGGGUCAGUAGGUUGGUCAUGCCUUCGGUAUGUACUGGUCUCACUGAUUCCUCCCUCUUGAAGAACUGUAAUGUCAUUAAUUUGGUGUUGCGGGGAAACAGGACUGUUACUUUGAAAAAAUUAGAGUGUUUAAAGCAAGCUCACGCUUGAAUACAUUAGCAUGGAAUAAUGAAAUAGGACGUUCGAUCCUAUUUUGUUGGUUUCUAGGAUUGACGUAAUGAUUAAUAGGGAUAGUUGGGGGCAUUAGUAUUCAAUUGUCAGAGGUGAAAUUCUUGGAUUUAUUGAAGACUAACUACUGCGAAAGCAUUUGCCAAGGAUGUUUUCAUUAAUCAAGAACGAAAGUUAGGGGAUCGAAGACGAUCAGAUACCGUCGUAGUCUUAACCAUAAACUAUGCCGACUAGGGAUCGGAUGAUGUUAAUUUUUAAUUAGACUCAUUCGGCGCCUU
Molecule: ribosomal RNA, 520 nt
Filed under: uncultured Glomus
Lineage: Eukaryota; Fungi; Glomeromycota; Glomeromycetes; Glomerales; Glomeraceae
Description: SSU rRNA
Rfam family: Eukaryotic small subunit ribosomal RNA
Source: RNAcentral